Molecule: ribosomal RNA, 253 nt
Filed under: uncultured bacterium
Lineage: Bacteria
Description: partial 16S ribosomal RNA
Rfam family: Bacterial small subunit ribosomal RNA
Source: RNAcentral
UACGUAGGGAGCAAGCGUUGUUCGGAUUUACUGGGCGUAAAGGGCGCGUAGGCGGCGCGGUAAGUCACUUGUGAAAUCUCUGAGCUUAACUCAGAACGGCCAAGUGAUACUGCAGUGCUAGAGUGCAGAGGGGGCAAUCGGAAUUCUUGGUGUAGCGGUGAAAUGCGUAGAUAUCAAGAGGAACACCUGAGGUGAAGACGGGUUGCUAGGCUGACACUGACGCUGAGGCGCGAAAGCCAGGGGAGCAAACGGG